CAGCCGCCCGCGCAAUACCCGAGCUGCAAGUGGUGACCACGAUUAUUGGGUUUAAAGCAUCCGUAGCCGGUUUAGUAAGUUUUUGGUUAAAUCCUCUACUAAAUAAAGGGGUGCUAGAAAUACUACUAGGCUAGAGACCAUGAUAGGUUAGGGGUACUCUUAGGGUAGGGGUGGAAUCCACUGAUCCUAAGGGGACCACCAAUGGCGAAGGCACCUAGCUAGAAUGGCUCUGACGGUGAUGGAUGAAGGCUAAGGUAGCGAUCGGGAUUAGAUACCCCGGUAGUCUUAGCUGUAAACUAUGCCCGCUAGAAGUUAGCUGGUUUGUAGUAAUCAGUUAGUUUCCAAGAGAAAUCAUUAAGCGGGCCACCUGGGGAGUACGCUCGCAAGAGUGAAACUUAAAGGAAUUGGCGGGGGAG
Molecule: ribosomal RNA, 416 nt
Filed under: uncultured euryarchaeote
Lineage: Archaea; Methanobacteriati; Methanobacteriota
Description: bacterial SSU rRNA
Rfam family: Archaeal small subunit ribosomal RNA
Source: RNAcentral